AGUUUGAUUCUGGCUCAGGAUGAACGCUAGCUACAGGCUUAACACAUGCAAGUCGAGGGGCAGCAUUGGGAUAGCUUGCUAUUCAGAUGGCGACCGGCGCACGGGUGAGUAACGCGUAUCCAACCUUCCUGCCAGUAGGGAACAGCCCGGCGAAAGUCGGAUUAAUGCCCUAUGUUCUUCAAUGCGGACAUCUAAGUUGAAGGAAAGAUUCAUCGCUGGCAGAUGGGGAUGCGUCCGAUUAGCUUGCCGGCGGGGUAACGGCCCACCGGGGCGACGAUCGGUAGGGGUUCUGAGAGGAAGGUCCCCCACACUGGUACUGAGACACGGACCAGACUCCUACGGGAGGCAGCAGUGAGGAAUAUUGGUCAAUGGGCGUAAGCCUGAACCAGCCAAGUAGCGUGCCAGGAUGACGGCCCUACGGGUUGUAAACUGCUUUUAUGCGGGGAUAAAGUGCGGCACGUGUGCCGCUUUGCAGGUACCGCAUGAAUAAGGACCGGCUAAUUCCGUGCCAGCCGCCGC
Molecule: ribosomal RNA, 519 nt
Filed under: uncultured bacterium
Lineage: Bacteria
Description: bacterial SSU rRNA
Rfam family: Bacterial small subunit ribosomal RNA
Source: RNAcentral